UACGGAGGAUCCGAGCGUUAUCCGGAUUUAUUGGGUUUAAAGGGUGCGCGGGCGGGAGAUUAAGUCGGCGGUGAAAUUUUGCAGCUCAACUGUAAAAGUGCCUUCGAAACUGGUUUCCUUGAGUGUAGAUGAAGUAGGCGGAAUUUGUGGUGUAGCGGUGAAAUGCAUAGAUAUCACGAGGAACUCCGAUUGCGCAGGCAGCUUACUAAACUACUACUGACGCUCAGGCACGAAGGCGUGGGGAUCAAACAGGAUUAGAUACCCGCGUAGUCCCU
Molecule: ribosomal RNA, 275 nt
Filed under: uncultured prokaryote
Description: partial 16S ribosomal RNA
Rfam family: Bacterial small subunit ribosomal RNA
Source: RNAcentral